RNAcentral lists this ribosomal RNA (495 nucleotides) under Triticum aestivum (bread wheat). Its description in RNAcentral is "partial small subunit ribosomal RNA". The record is from RNAcentral. Lineage: Eukaryota; Viridiplantae; Streptophyta; Magnoliopsida; Poales; Poaceae.
AUGACCCUCUUUUGUUGGAUAUUAUUUACUGUUGUUAGUUUGAAGCACUCCUCUGGUUUGAAGGAUAGAUACCUUUCUGGGAUCAAGUGCAUCCUAACUCACCUGCGCAGGAUAAUUAACCAAUGCAAGUCAAAGAAGGAUUGGCCAGUGUUGCUGGUUGGCGUCAAGUUCGAUCCCACGGUUCAGGAACUGAUCGAGCACCUUGAGGCCAAAGUGAGUGCUGACAGCGCGAGAUCUCACCCUCUCAUCGAUUUGUUCAUACCAACCAUCGACAGCGAGCACGGCAUAUGCUACACCCAUCCUGAGAAAUUUCCAGGUAUCACACUGAGUGGCCUAAGCAAGCAUUUCUUGCAGCGUAAUUCUAGGGCGUUCAAAAGGGGCACGCGGACGCGUCGCAAGAUACAGUCGUACCGGCAGACGGGCACCAUAAAGGUUCUGGUGCUGCACACCAACAAGAACUUCGACCAGCAGAGGACCAGCUGGGUGAUGCACUAG